UAUGGUAUGUGCCAGCCGCCGCGGUAAUACGUAGGUGGCAAGCGUUGUCCGGAAUUAUUGGGCGUAAAGGGCGCGCAGGCGGCGUCGUAAGUCGGUCUUAAAAGUGCGGGGCUUAACCCCGUGAGGGGACCGAAACUGCGAUGCUAGAGUAUCGGAGAGGAAAGCGGAAUUCCUAGUGUAGCGGUGAAAUGCGUAGAUAUUAGGAGGAACACCAGUGGCGAAAGCGGCUUUCUGGACGACAACUGACGCUGAGGCGCGAAAGCCAGGGGAGCAAACGGG
This 279-nucleotide ribosomal RNA is filed under the name Megasphaera elsdenii DSM 20460. RNAcentral's name for it is "partial 16S ribosomal RNA". It matches the Rfam family "Bacterial small subunit ribosomal RNA", at positions 497 to 776 of the family's 1533-position model. The record is from RNAcentral. Lineage: Bacteria; Bacillati; Bacillota; Negativicutes; Veillonellales; Veillonellaceae.